Molecule: ribosomal RNA, 446 nt
Filed under: uncultured bacterium
Lineage: Bacteria
Description: SSU rRNA
Rfam family: Bacterial small subunit ribosomal RNA
Source: RNAcentral
AGAACGAACGCUGGCGGCAGGCCUCAAACAUGCAAGUCUAGGGGAUGUAGCAAUACAUCACCGGCGGACGGGUGCGUAACACGUGGGAAUAUACCUUUCGGUACGGAACAACUGCGGGAAACUGCAGCUAAUACCGUAUACGUCCUUACGGAGAAAGAUUUAUCGCCGAAGGAUUAGCCCGCGUUCGAUUAGCUAGUUGGUGAGGUAAUGGCUCACCAAGGCGACGAUCGAUAGCUGUUCUGAGAGGAAGAUCAGCCACACUGGGACUGAGACACGGCCCAGACUCCUACGGGAGGCAGCAGUUGGAAUCUUGGACAAUGGGGGAAACCCUGAUCCAGCCAUGCCGCGUGAGUGAUGAAGGCCUUCGGGUUGUAAAGCUCUUUUACCCGGGAAGAUAAUGACUGUACCGGAGAAUAAGCUCCGGCUAACUUCGCGCCAGCAGCCGC